RNAcentral lists this ribosomal RNA (427 nucleotides) under uncultured Actinomycetes bacterium. RNAcentral describes it as "bacterial SSU rRNA". It matches the Rfam family "Bacterial small subunit ribosomal RNA", at positions 233 to 671 of the family's 1533-position model. Lineage: Bacteria; Bacillati; Actinomycetota; Actinomycetes. The record is from RNAcentral.
GCGGCCUAUCAGCUUGUUGGUGAGGUAAUGGCUCACCAAGGCGACGACGGGUAGCUGGCCUGAGAGGGCGACCGGCCACACUGGGACUGAGACACGGCCCAGACUCCUACGGGAGGCAGCAGUGGGGAAUCUUGCGCAAUGGGCGAAAGCCUGACGCAGCGACGCCGCGUGCGGGAUGAAGGCCUUCGGGUUGUAAACCGCUUUCAGCAGGGAAGAAGCGAAAGUGACGGUACCUGCAGAAGAAGCACCGGCUAACUAUGUGCCAGCAGCCGCGGUAAUACAUAGGGUGCAAGCGUUGUCCGGAAUUAUUGGGCGUAAAGAGCUCGUAGGCGGUUUGUUACGUCGGGUGUGAAAACCUGGGGCUCAACCCCAGGCCGGCAUCCGAUACGGCCGUAGCUAGAGUUUGGUAGGGGAGACUGGAAUUCCU